This 427-nucleotide ribosomal RNA is filed under the name uncultured bacterium. Its description in RNAcentral is "partial 16S ribosomal RNA". It matches the Rfam family "Bacterial small subunit ribosomal RNA", at positions 354 to 796 of the family's 1533-position model. The record is from RNAcentral.
GUGGGGAAUAUUGCGCAAUGGGGGAAACCCUGACGCAGCAACGCCGCGUGAUUGAAGAAGGCCUUCGGGUUGUAAAGAUCUUUAAUUGGGGACGAAUAAAUGACGGUACCCAAAGAAUAAGCUCCGGCUAACUACGUGCCAGCAGCCGCGGUAAUACGUAGGGAGCAAGCGUUAUCCGGAUUUACUGGGUGUAAAGGGCGAGUAGGCGGGCCGACAAGUUAGGAGUGAAAUCCGGGGGCUUAACCCCCGAACUGCUUUCAAAACUGUUGGUCUUGAGUGAUGGAGAGGCAGGCGGAAUUCCCAGUGUAGCGGUGAAAUGCGUAGAUAUUGGGAGGAACACCAGUGGCGAAGGCGGCCUGCUGGACAUUAACUGACGCUGAGGCGCGAAAGCGUGGGGAGCAAACAGGAUUAGAAACCCUGGUAGUCC